CUGCGGAAGGAUCAUUGUAGAGUUCUGUUUCGAACUAUUGUGAAGUUGUACAUGUGGCCAUCAACAACUAGGUAUUAUUUGUCCACAUAUGCAUUGUUUUGAUGGAUUCCCUUUGCUGCCUUCAUCUAGCUUCGUUCGAAGUAAGAAGGAGAGUAGAAACAAGAGACCGGCAUGGUUUGUGCCAAGUGUAGAUGUUGUUGAAGUGCAUUGCCAUCUUUUUGAUGUGCUUUAUGUUACUCUACAAGCGUGAGCGUUUGAAUGACUCUUGGCAAUGAAUAUCUUGGCUCUCAUGUCGAUGAAGAACGUAGCGAAAUGCGACACUUGGUGUGAAUUGCAGAAUCCCGUGAACCAUCGAGUCUUUGAAUGCAAGUUGCGCUUGAGGCCAUUAGGUCAAGAGCACGUCUUUUUGGGUGUCGUUCCUUGCAUCAUUUUAACCGUCCACCUACGAAAAACAUAAGGUGGGUGACAGUGGAUGUGGAGAUUGACCUUCCGUGCUUUAGUUGGACGGUUGGUUUAAGUGAAUGUUGUGGCUAGGUCUCUGCGCGGCGAAUGGUGUAUCGGGUUAACACGGAUGUCUACAACUGCGUCCAGGAGUACUAAGCAUGACGUAACAUUAACUGAAACCAUUUUCGAUGUUUGUGUUAGUAACAAGGUCGACCCAUGACCUCAGAUAAGACGGGGCCACCCGCUGAGUUUAAGCAUA
Molecule: ribosomal RNA, 703 nt
Filed under: Allium weschniakowii
Lineage: Eukaryota; Viridiplantae; Streptophyta; Magnoliopsida; Asparagales; Amaryllidaceae
Description: eukaryotic LSU rRNA
Rfam family: 5.8S ribosomal RNA (bases 261-416)
Source: RNAcentral